UUUAAGCUGGAAAGAGCACCAACUUUCGAUCUCCACUGACUGGAGGUCUGCCCUGAAACCAGUUUACGGGACGCGAUCAAAAUGAUUUGCUCCCUCGUUUUUAAUGCCUUGCUUUUUUUCUUGAUUUCCUUUUGCACAUUGCCUUGGAUUGGGCCAAUGAACUGACGGGAGUAGCAGCAGCGGACGUUGCAUCCGACAAUGCCGAGAUCUUUGAGGCUGUGUGGAGAAGCAGAGAGCGAGAGGGAUAGAGGACAGGGCCGUCUGGUAGUAUGCGUAGAGGACGUAUACUAUAUGGGAGAUCGUCCGUUCGAACGCGUUGCAUUUAUUUUUGGGCGAUGCCCCGACAACGAUGUGGAGAUGGGGGCAUGCUGUCGCCUUUUUAUGGCAACUUUUUUGCAUUGGAAUUUUUGUUGUUGCUGCUGUUGUUAUUGCCGGCUGCAAUUUCCGAGUUUCUGGAGUCAGGUCGUCGACGUAUGCGUAAGACAAUGAUUCUGGGCGCUUGUUACAAUGAGGAUUUACAGAGGACAAUAGUGCGUCUAACUCCAGCAGGGCCCCCACUUCCACCCAGUUCGGGAUUGGAGUGUGCUCCGUACUGCACUGGGAUCCGAUGCGAUGCUUUGCUUAGGCUGUCACCUUGACUUUAAGGAGUCGAGUCGUCUUUAUAUCGCACUGUGGAUGUAGUGCGUAAACUCUGAAUGCGUGGAGGGGUGAUGUGAGUAACGGAGCCCGAGCCAGAGCCAGUGCCCGGCCCUUAUUCUCCACUGAAUCAAACUAGUUGGACCAGUUGGAAAUGUACGACAAAUAUACGUUGAAUUUACUCGCAUAUAAAAGGAAGUCGCUGUUCGUUUUUUUGGAUGCCGCUGCUGGUAGCCGUCGUUGGCUUUUGGUUUUGUGGGCGUUGCUGGAACUCUAUAAAAUCGAAUUUUUAACGUUCAAAUGGUAACAGAGCCACAGAAGAAAUAAGCUGUGCGGCAGGGUGUGUGUUUUUUUGGCGCCGCACAGUUUUGUUUUCGUCAUCUGUUAUUGAUUUUUGCGACAUGUUAAUGCUGAAUGCCUGCUGCUAGUUAACAGGCGCCCACCCCAUGAAAUGGCAUUAUUAGGAUUGCCAAAAUCAUAGCAAGACGAUUAACGCUGAGAGAGGUACUUUCGGUUCAUUCUUCAGGCGUCAGUCUCUAC
Molecule: small RNA, 1176 nt
Filed under: Drosophila pseudoobscura pseudoobscura
Lineage: Eukaryota; Metazoa; Arthropoda; Insecta; Diptera; Drosophilidae
Description: GA31957
Source: RNAcentral